CAGUGAAUCAUUAAUCCAAAUUCAAUACCUAAAAUAUCAAUUUAGAUGAUGGAUCAUGAACUUUAAAGCUGGAAGAAACAGUAAAUGUAUCUCUCUCCCUACUCGCUGCAUUGACAGCUGAGGGAGGUGGAAUUGAGGGAGAGGAAAGACCAUGUGAGG
Long non-coding RNA from Symphalangus syndactylus (siamang), 159 nucleotides. RefSeq lists it as uncharacterized. NCBI's taxonomy places the organism in Eukaryota, Metazoa, Chordata, Mammalia, Primates, Hylobatidae. The record is from RefSeq and is a predicted model, not a curated record.